AUCCAGCUGACGAGUCCCAAAUAGAACGAAGCGCGCAACCUGGAU
Molecule: non-coding RNA, 45 nt
Organism: Schistosoma rodhaini
Lineage: Eukaryota; Metazoa; Platyhelminthes; Trematoda; Strigeidida; Schistosomatidae
Source: Rfam